This 204-nucleotide long non-coding RNA is filed under the name Homo sapiens (human). RNAcentral's name for it is "HSALNT0291409". The record is from RNAcentral. Lineage: Eukaryota; Metazoa; Chordata; Mammalia; Primates; Hominidae.
CUGUGAAACUAACAUGACAAAAAGAACUUUGCUUAGAUGAUUAAAUUAAGGAACUUGCCAUGGGGAGAGUAUCCUCAAUUAUCCUGGUGGGCCCACUGUAAUCACAAGAAUCCUUAAUAGGUGGAAGAAAAAGAAGAAGAUGGAGAAGAAGAAAAAGAAGAGGAGGAAGAAGAAGAAGAAGAAGAAGAAGAGUAAGAAGAAGAG